CGGGGCGUAGCGCAGCUUGGUAGCGCAUCUGCUUUGGGAGCAGAGGGUCGCAUGUUCGAAUCAUGUCGCCCCGACCA
Molecule: transfer RNA, 77 nt
Filed under: Clostridia bacterium
Lineage: Bacteria; Bacillati; Bacillota; Clostridia
Description: tRNA-Pro
Rfam family: tRNA
About the family: Transfer RNA (tRNA) molecules are approximately 80 nucleotides in length.
Source: RNAcentral